CCUGCUCGUUUCCACUUUGGGGAGAAACGUAUUGACCGACGUCGAUGGUUUUCCAGUCUGCCACCAAGUCAGCCCAGCCCAGGAACCUACUGCUGUGUGCUGGACUUGCAGUGAGAAGGCAAAGUAUCAGCUCCCUUUGAAAAAGUAAAAAUCAGACUGGCCAUUCGUUACACUGGGAAAAGGAGAUCAGAACGCAGACACGUACAGAGGGAAGACUCUGUGAGCGUACAUGGAGAAGACAGCCAUUUGUAAGUCAAGGAGAAAAGCCUCAGAAGAAACCAGCCCUGAGGACAUUUUUACCUUGGACUUCUUCUAGCCACCAGAACUAUGGAAAAAUAAAUUUCUUUUGGUUAAGCCACUCA
This is a non-coding RNA of Miniopterus natalensis, 362 nucleotides long. The record is from RefSeq and is a predicted model, not a curated record. NCBI's taxonomy places the organism in Eukaryota, Metazoa, Chordata, Mammalia, Chiroptera, Miniopteridae.